CGCGUAGGCGGACUGGCAAGUCAGAUGUGAAAUACAGGGGCUCAACCCCUGAACUGCAUUUGAAACUGUUGGUCUUGAGUAUCGGAGAGGCAAGCGGAAUUCCUAGUGUAGCGGUGAAAUGCGUAGAUAUUAGGAGGAACACCAGUGGCGAAGGCGGCUUGCUGGACGACAACUGACGCUGAGGCGCGAAAGCGUGGGGAGCAAACAG
This 208-nucleotide ribosomal RNA is filed under the name uncultured Eubacteriales bacterium. RNAcentral's name for it is "uncultured Clostridiales bacterium partial 16S ribosomal RNA". It matches the Rfam family "Bacterial small subunit ribosomal RNA", at positions 568 to 775 of the family's 1533-position model. The record is from RNAcentral. Lineage: Bacteria; Bacillati; Bacillota; Clostridia; Eubacteriales.